RNAcentral lists this ribosomal RNA (562 nucleotides) under Prionothelphusa eliasi. RNAcentral's name for it is "partial large subunit ribosomal RNA". It matches the Rfam family "Bacterial large subunit ribosomal RNA", at positions 1797 to 2620 of the family's 2925-position model. Lineage: Eukaryota; Metazoa; Arthropoda; Malacostraca; Decapoda; Pseudothelphusidae. The record is from RNAcentral.
CGCCUGUUUAUCAAAAACAUGUCUUUUUGUAGUUAUAAAAGGUCUGACCUGCCCAGUGAUAAAAUAUUUAACGGCCGCGGUAUUUAUGACCGUGCAAAGGUAGCAUAAUCAUUAGUCUUUUAAUUGAGGGCUUGUAUGAAGGGUUUUACAAAAGAAAUUCUGUCUCUAUAAAUAAAAAUUGAAUUUAACUUUUAAGUGAAAAGGCUUAAAUAUCUCAAAGGGACGAUAAGACCCUAUAAAGUUUUAUAAUAAAUACAUUUUUAUUAAUAUUUUAAAAAUCUUGAUUUAGAUUUUGUUAAGUUGGGGAAACUAGAGUAUAAUUAUUAUUAAUUAUUCUUUGUAUAAUACAAAUAUAUUUGAGUAAAGUUUAAUGAUCCUUUAAUUAUUAGAGAUUUAAAGAUUAAAUUACUUUAGGGAUAACAGCGUUAUUUUUUUUAAGAGUUCUUAUCGAAAAAAGAGUUUAUGACCUCGAUGUUGAAUUAAAAUUUCUGUAUAAUGUAGUUGUUAUAUAAGAAGGUCUGUUCGACCUUUAAAUUUUUACGUGAUCUGAGUUCAGACCGGA